UGCUAUACAUGCAAGUCGAGCGCGGGAAGCCGGCGGACUCCUUCGGGAGGAAACCGGUGGAACGAGCGGCGGACGGGUGAGUAACACGUGGGCAACCUGCCGGACGGAUGGGAAUAACCCCGGGAAACCGGGGCUAAUGCCCAAUACGCCCUGACCUCGCCUGAGGUCAGCGGCAAAGCAGGGAUCUUCGGAUCCUUGCACCGUCCGAUGGGCCCGCGGCGCAUUAGCUAGUUGGGGAGGUAAGGGCUCCCCAAGGCGACGAUGCGUAGCCGACCUGAGAGGGUGAUCGGCCACACUGGGACUGAGACACGGCCCAGACUCCUACGGGAGGCAGCAGUAGGGAAUCAUCCGCAAUGGGCGAAAGCCUGACGGUGCAACGCCGCGUGAGUGAUGAAGGUUUUCGGAUCGUAAAGCUCUGUUGACAGGGAAGAACCCACGCCAGUCGAACAGGCUGGCGUGCUGACGGUACCUGUCCAGAAAGCCCCGGCUAACUACGUGCCAGCAGCCGCGGUAAUACGUAGGGGGCAAGCGUUGUCCGGAAUUAUUGGGCGUAAAGGGCACGCAGGCGGUUUCGUUAGUCCGAUGUGACAGGCCACGGCUCAACCGUGGAAGGCCAUUGGAAACUGCGAAACUUGAGGACAGAAGAGGAGAGUGGAAUUCCACGUGUAGCGGUGAAAUGCGUAGAUAUGUGGAGGAACACCAGUGGCGAAGGCGACUCUCUGGUCUGUACCUGACGCUGAGGUGCGAAAGCAUGGGGAGCAAACAGGAUUAGAUACCCUGGUAGUCCAUGCCGUAAACGCUGAGUGCUAGGUGUUAGGGGUUUCGAUACCCGUAGUGCCGAAGCUAACGCAUUAAGCACUCCGCCUGGGGAGUACGACCGCAAGGUUGAAACUCAAGGAAUUGACGGGGCCCGCACAAGCGGUGGAGCAUGNGGNUUAA
This 939-nucleotide ribosomal RNA is filed under the name uncultured Marinococcus sp. RNAcentral's name for it is "bacterial SSU rRNA". It matches the Rfam family "Bacterial small subunit ribosomal RNA", at positions 45 to 949 of the family's 1533-position model. The record is from RNAcentral. Lineage: Bacteria; Bacillati; Bacillota; Bacilli; Caryophanales; Bacillaceae.